Molecule: long non-coding RNA, 2465 nt
Filed under: Nilaparvata lugens (brown planthopper)
Lineage: Eukaryota; Metazoa; Arthropoda; Insecta; Hemiptera; Delphacidae
Description: uncharacterized LOC111049808
Source: RNAcentral
AACGAUAGAAGUGGAAUUUGAAAUGUUUACCAAGAUGGCGGCCGACCUUCACAGUGAACUUGGAAUGCUGACAGCGCUCCAGUGGGCGUUUUGUGAACUACGAGAGUUACGAGACAUGUUUCUAUUCUUUGUAGGUUAUGUUGUAAUUUUAGCGGAAAAUAAUGGUUGUGUUUACUUAUAAUCAAUAAUAAUUAUUAGUUUGCAAGUUAUAUGAAUAUUUUAGCUACAAAAGCCAAAGUUUCAAAAUAAAAUUAUUUUCCAAAAUCGAUUUGAGCUAGACUAUAUAGCUGUAUGAUAACAUAAAAUAAUGACGAAGAUUGAUGUUAUUCUUUACUGUACCGUACCAGGUUCCAGAAAACAUGCAGUCUGUAAUCUACCCCCAUGUCAGUGUAGAGAGGCCUGUUCAUGAAGACACAAAAUCAUUCGACGACACCAAAACAUAUUACACAGUGUAGAUGGACGGAUAGAAAGCGUGAACAUCAAAAGCCAUCGUGUGUUACUCAGUUUCCAUUCUGCAUCUAACAAUAGGAACCAAGCAUCCAAAAUCAUAACUUUAUUAUUAUAUAGUCCAGACAAUGAAUGCUCAAAAGAGGGUAUAGAGAGAAAAGUUUGGAAGACUAUAUUUGACCCCGCAAUUUUGUUUUGGGUAUUAAGGAGGUAAAAAUAUCCCCUCCCUUCCCCUUGUGAUAAGGGGGUGGGGUGGUUCAAAGGUACCAGUUUUUGGUUUCUCGCAUAUAACUCGAAAACUAUGUAUCUUACGGACAUAACUGUUACAUACAAAAGUAUUAUAUAAUUCGUUUUCAGGAUGGACACGUUAAGCCGUCGGUCCCGGCUGCCUAAAAAGCAGUCGUUAGGUCAUGUCAGAGGCCCUGAAAUUGAUCAGCGACCUGAAAACUCUGACACCAGACCUGAGCCAGCCAGGUCACUCGAAUAUUAUUAUUAUUAUAUAAUUUUUAUAAUUUCCUACAAUAUUCAUCUCACAACUUUUCUAGUUUUCGAGAUAUCCGCUCUUAAAUGUGUGACAUUUUUGAAAAAAACACGUUCGCCUCCAAUUUUUUUCUAUUUCUACUCUUAUAACUUUUUAAAAAUUGAUGGGAAAAAUCAAUGCAGAUUAUGAGCUCAUAGAGCCUCUUUCAGGAAUUAUAACUCUCCAACAAUGCAUCGUAAAAAUCAAUGCUUAUCGUAGGUUUGUAGAGCAUUAAAUUCUCUUUGAAAUGGUGCAUUAUUUCACUAUUCAAAGUUUCUGUUUCAUUGUUAUAGCAACUUUAAUGUAGGGGAUGGAAUUUCCAAUGCUGCAACAAUUAUUCAUUUGGCAAUUAAAUUUGAAGCGGGUGUCUGUGACACAAUUUUUGACGUAGCAGCUUAAUUUUGACUAGUUAGAAGAUUAACAUAGCAAAAGUGCACAUCUUUAUCCCCUCUGUUGAAGGUUUGGAACCGCUGAGUUGACACUAGUUGCAAUAUUGAAAAUGUUGCUACAUUGCACUAUCAUUUUUGAUCAUUUGUUACAUCACACAACUAUUAUAUGAAUACUUUGUAUUGUUGUAACCAAAUUGAAUCAAUUGACAAUUCCUUUUUUACUGCUUAUUCAAAUUUACUAUUUUGUUAUUUUUGAUUUUCAUUAAACGUCUUUUUUCCUACUUAGUGCAGUCAUCAUAACUUUUAAGGCCAUUUGUAAAGUGCCACUUAUAUCAAUAAAUGCAAUCAUUUGUUAUUGUUACAUUGUCUUACAAUUUCUUGGCGUCUACCUUGCUACCAGGUAUUUAGUAGUUUUACUCAUAAGUUUUAUGUGAGUUUGGGUAAAGGUAUUGAUGAACAACAUCAGCCUUCUAUUAAUUAUAUUUAUUAUUUAACAUACAUUUCAUUCAACUUAGUAUACAGUCCACUUGAAGUCCCUCAUACCAAACACAUCAGAUACAUAGUUUUCGAGUUAUAUGUGAGAAACCAAAAAAUUUUAUCUUUAAAACACCCCCACCCCCUUAGCACAAGGGGUGGGGGGAGACUUUUGAUAUGUUUACCCCCUUACCACCCAAAACAGAACUGCGGGGCCAAAAAUUGUCUUCCAAACUUUUCCCCUCUAUAACCUUUCCUUGACUGCACUGUAUAUCAUCCAGUUAAUUUUGAUAUCACAUUAAUUAAAAAGCUUCCCUCAUAGUAUAAUUUUUCAAUAUUUUACCAAUUUUAUAAUACACAAGAAAUCAAUAUAUUACCGAGGUUGUCAAAGAUCUGAAUUUUCAAUGUGUUUUGAUGUAAAUUAUUGCAAAAAACUAAUAUCAUGGUUAGCUAUGCAUAAAGAGGCAUGAUAGCAUGAUGGUCAUUCUUUACUGAAUCGAAAUAAGCUGUUAUAACUUUUUCUACUAUUAAUUUGGUUUUCAAUAAACUAGUUAUGAUCAGAUGCCUCAUUACUAAAUGCAAAAUUCAUGUCGGUUAUGUAGCUUUUCUGCAAUAAACUAGAAUUACUCAAUAAU